UGGGGAAUAUUGGACAAUGGGCGCAAGCCUGAUCCAGCCAUGCCGCGUGAGUGACGAAGGCCUUAGGGUUGUAAAGCUCUUUUGGCGGGGAAGAUAAUGACGGUACCCGCAGAAUAAGCUCCGGCUAACUUCGUGCCAGCAGCCGCGGUAAUACGAAGGGAGCUAGCGUUGUUCGGAAUCACUGGGCGUAAAGCGCACGUAGGUGGGCAGUUAAGUCAGGGGUGAAAGCCCGAGGCUCAACCUCGGAAUUGCCUCUGAUACUGGCUGUCUAGAGUUCGAGAGAGGUGAGUGGAAUUCCUAGUGUAGAGGUGAAAUUCGUAGAUAUUAGGAAGAACACCGGUGGCGAAGGCGGCUCACUGGCUCGAUACUGACACUGAGGCACGAAAGCGUGGGGAGCAAACAGGAUUAGAUACCAUGUAGUCCCUGAGCGGGCUGGCAAGGCGCAU
Molecule: ribosomal RNA, 446 nt
Filed under: uncultured bacterium
Lineage: Bacteria
Description: bacterial SSU rRNA
Rfam family: Bacterial small subunit ribosomal RNA
Source: RNAcentral